RNAcentral lists this ribosomal RNA (433 nucleotides) under uncultured bacterium. RNAcentral's name for it is "partial 16S ribosomal RNA". It matches the Rfam family "Bacterial small subunit ribosomal RNA", at positions 29 to 507 of the family's 1533-position model. The record is from RNAcentral.
AACGAACGCUGGCGGCAUGCCUAACACAUGCAAGUCGAACGAACCCAUCAGGUCCUUUCUCGCCCGAGUGCGUAACCGGACGGAAGCUUCACAUAGGUAUGAAAUAACUCUCCGACAGGGGUAAUAAUACCAGACCAUGUCUUCUGCCGAACGAUAUAUUGCACUUGAAUGGGCCCGCGUUGGAUUAGGUAGUUGGUUGGGUAAAAGCCUACCAAGGCGACGAUUCAUAGCUUGUUAGAGAGGAUGAUCAGCAACACUGGGACUGAGACACGACCCGGGAUCCUACGGGAGGGAGCAAUGGGGAAUAUUGGACAAUGGGCGAAAGCCUGAACCAGCAAUGCCGCGUAAAUGAUGAAGGUCUGAGGGUAGUAAAGCUCUUUUACCCGGGAUGAUAAUGACAGUACCGGGAGAAUAAGCUCCGGCUAACUCCGUG